GCAGCGCUCAUAGAGCCCGACGACAGUUGUGUCGAGAGAGCCCGACGCUCGCGUAUCAACAUCACGCAUAUAUAUAUAUAUAUAUCUGUGCGCAGAGUACGAACAGAAAAAUGUUCACGUGGACAGAAAAAAAAGCGGGAAGAAGGAAAGAGAGAAGGACGCACAAGGUGUCGAUCUGCGGUUAGUUUGUAACAGAGAUAAAUUGACACAUCGUUUAUAUCUCGACUACUUUCCAACAGAAUCAAGCAAGUGAGAAAACACAUAUAACAAAAUAUCACAUACAAGGAUCGCCACUGGAGUCAAUACUAGUCGUUCUAUCAUUGAGGUAAAACGAUCGCGUUAGAAGGUUGGAUGGGUGAUCCAUCGAAACCACGGAGGGAUGCGAAAUGACAAUUUUUUUCUCUAUUAAUGGUAGAUGCAAAUCUUUCUUUAAUUCUCAACAUACAGAUAAAAAAUUAUCAUUUGUAGCAUCAAAGAGGCACAGUCGUAGAACGAUAUCUGUAAUAUUGCACAAAUAUUACCACAUUAUUACAGGCAGAUCACUGUAAUAUUACUGAAAUAUCGCAGAAAUAUUUCAGCAAUGAAUUUUCGCGAACAUUUAAUAUUAUAAUAAUAUUUAUGUAAUAUUAUUGAUAUAUUUCCUUGUAAUAUUAUUAUAGCAAUAUCGUUACUACUGCGAUAUUACAUUGUUGUAUGGAUUUUGGACGUUUAUCUCGCGCUCAAGUUCCCACUCAUGAGACUUCGCGUUAUAUAAGCGCACCGACAAACAAACACUCCCGUCGAGAUAUAUUUGUGGUUAACAUGACAUAAAAUGGCACGAUGAACUUCUCGCGCGUGUCGAAACCACUGUGAAAGUCACGUAAAAUUAGACCUUGCUCGUGACCGAUUGACAGCACCGCGACAGUUCAGUAAAUGAGGCGCGUGCACACGGAAAAAAAUAAUUUCGUCAGCAUAACUUGGGAUUUUCUGUUGCUCGGGAACAAGAUGAAAACUCGAUUGUAGAAACAGAAAGAUUUCUGCGAGAGGUUUCUAUUCAGUGAAUUGCUCUCAGUUGUUUCAACCAAAUUUUAACGCAGCUGAAUGUUCAUACGAAUGUUUUCAGUCGCGGUAACACACAAAUAUUUCUUAUCUUCAAAUUUUCAUCUGAUACCUAUUGCAGAAACCGAGAUUUUUUUGUGUAAUACACACACACACACACACACACCGAAGAAAUAGCGUAAUCCGCGUAAAAACAUUCCUUUUUUACGGCCGUAUUUCUUCCUAAGAAUGUAUACCCGUACGAGUGUUCUAAAUAACCGGCCGAAUGAUCGAUCUAUUUCGAUGGGAAUGUCCGUUUCGGCGAAUUUGGUGCAGAAAGUUUACCUACGAUCAAAUUUAUAUCCAAGUUCUUAAUCUCCCUCUUUCUAUCGCGAUAGUUUCAAACGUCAAUAUCUUACGGACUUUAUAUUUCAGAAAGUAAAAGUUGCCUGGGUCGCACGAAAAAUUCUCGACGGAGAAUUAAAAAUCGGGAGUGAAUUCUUCACGGAUUCGAGACUCAGAAUUGAGUAUACAAUCGGCAGCCUCAAGAAAAGCUUUUAAGAAAAGGGAAUUGCGGUAUUACGUAAUACUGGCGAAUCGCCGCCAAUGCACUUUCCCCUUACUUGAAAUCUUGAUCGUAGAGAAGAACAUACGCGUAACGUUACUUUAGCACGACAUAAAAUAUCACAUCUUUUCGAUACUGUGAAAAAAGGAGAGACGAAAAAUAUUUCAUAUCACACGCUCCCUUCUCAGACGUAGACAAGUCAUCAAUUUACUUUGAUGACGAGAAUAAUCGCAGACGAUUAUUUCGUUGACCUGAAUACAAAAAGCGAUGAAAGCGUGUCAUCUCGAUUCCGAAUAAAAUACCGUCAGCUAAUAACCUGUCGGAUGGAAUUUAUGCGAGUCUAAACACGUGUUAGACACGCACCAGCCACGACUGUGCGAAAGUGUUCUGUAUACAUAUACUGUAAUAUUUAACGACAUGUCGUUAAAAAUCACAAAAUAGAUCUACUGUACUCCCACACACACACAUACAACUUACGUUCGAGCUCAUCCGUCUGUCGCACGAAGGAGACACUUCAUCACAAAGUUAUAAGCUAUCCGCCGCCGUUGCGAGAUGUGAUGCGAAAUAUGCGCGGGGUGGAUGUGUGUAGCCUUCGCGACGACCGUAGGUUGCGCGUUCGACCGCGUCGACCGACAGUGUCUCGUGCUUUCCUCCACUGUCUGCGAGAAUUAAGGACGGAUUCCAUCUGGGUCACGUCGACUAGGGUAACUACCUUCCGCGCGAUCCAUAUAAUAAUGAUCUUCAGCGACGUCUGGCGGAGGGUGAGGAAAAGCGAGCGUCAGGCUUGCGCUGUGAGGGAUGAAAUAGAUUCGCGAUAAUCGACUGACGAGAGCGACGCGAGAAAAAUAUCACGAGGGAGAGUUUCGUCACAAUCCUUUCCUUAUUAUUUGAUUAAGGCUCCUAGAUACUCACUCUAACUAUUCUUCUUUGAUGACUUAUUCUUAAAAUAUUAUAAAGAAUUAUUUUAAUAAUAUUCGUAUAUAAUAUUCUUAACACGAAGGAGACACUUCAUCACAAAGUUAUAAGCUAUCCGCCGCCGUUGCGAGAUGUGAUGCGAAACAUGUGCGGGUAUGCAUGUGUAGCCUUCGCAAUUUUUAAGAAAUAUUAGAAAUGCUAUGCUAUUACAUAAUGUAUAUCGUCUAUUUUGUUUUCUUAGAGAGAUUUAUAUUUUUUGUUUUCUCUGAAAUUAAGAUAUAAAGUAUUUUUGGAUUCAUCUACAUUCUCAUCAAGCUUUUUUCUCUAUUGCCGCGCACGAGAAUCAACAUCUUUCUAUUAUAUAGAUAAUGUGCAUUAUUUUAUCAGUCAUUUUAUUAAUCACUUUAUAUAAAUGUACAAACGAUAAGAAGACGAAUAUAAUGAUUAAGAAACAAAGUUGUUGUUCAAGAAAUGUUAUUAUUAUAACUAUUUAUAAAAAAUGAAAUAAAAAAUUUGAAUAAUUUA
Long non-coding RNA from Dinoponera quadriceps, 3022 nucleotides. RefSeq lists it as uncharacterized. NCBI's taxonomy places the organism in Eukaryota, Metazoa, Arthropoda, Insecta, Hymenoptera, Formicidae. The record is from RefSeq and is a predicted model, not a curated record. The transcript is spliced from 2 exons.